Molecule: ribosomal RNA, 207 nt
Filed under: uncultured bacterium
Lineage: Bacteria
Description: partial 16S ribosomal RNA
Rfam family: Bacterial small subunit ribosomal RNA
Source: RNAcentral
CGGAUUGCAGUCUGCAACUCGAGUGCAUGAAGCUGGAAUCGCUAGUAAUCGCGAAUCAGAAUGUCGCGGUGAAUACGUUCCCGGGUCUUGUACACACCGCCCGUCACACCAUGGGAGCCGACAACGCCCGAAGUCAGUGACCUAACCGAGAGGGAGGAGUUGCCGAAGGCGGGGUUGGUAACUGGGGUGAAGUCGUAACAAGGUAGC